ACUUUGCAUACACGAAAGUGUGACAGGGCUAUCCCGAGUGCCAUCCGCUGAGGAAGGCUUUUACCCAGUCUAGAACGCUGGGGGAAUAAGGAGAGGGCAAGUCUGGUGUCAGCCGCCGCGGUAAUACCAGCUCUCCGAGUGGUGUGGAUGUUUAUUGGGCCUAAAGCAUCCGUAGCUGGCUAAGUUAGUCCCUUGUUAAAUCCACCGAAUUAAUCGUUGGAUUGCGGGGGAUACUGCUUGGCUAGGGGACGAGAGAGGCAGACGGUAUUUCCGGGGUAGGGGUGAAAUCCUAUAAUCCCGGGAAGACCACCAGUGGCGAAGGCUGUCUGCUAGAACGCGCCCGACGGUGAGGGAUGAAAGCUGGGGGAGCGAACCGGAUUAGAUACCCGGGUAGUCCCAGCUGUAAACGAUGCAAACUAGGUGUUUGAACGGCCACGUGCCGUUCUAGUGCCGCAGGGAAGCUGUUAAGUUUGCCGCCUGGGGAGUACGAUCGCAAGAUUGAAACUUAAAGGAAUUGG
This 518-nucleotide ribosomal RNA is filed under the name uncultured crenarchaeote. Its description in RNAcentral is "bacterial SSU rRNA". It matches the Rfam family "Archaeal small subunit ribosomal RNA", at positions 347 to 868 of the family's 1478-position model. Lineage: Archaea; Thermoproteati; Thermoproteota. The record is from RNAcentral.